CGGGCGCAGAGCCCUUUGCGCGCUGCGGUUGAGCAACCGGGCGCCGCCCCUUUGGUGCCGGCCGCCGCGCGGGGGAUCGUGCGCUCGCCCAGCCUCGGGGUCCCGCCGGCCCUCGCCGGUUCCCGUAAAUUUGCUGGUCACUCUGAUUUAGGGGAAUGAAACUCCCGACCUACUGUAUGUCCGGACAGCCCUUGUCUUUUUUGUGAAUGUGAUUUCUCGGCUCCAGCGUGGAACCCUCAACCUAACAGCACAGCUCCUUCACCCUCCUGGCAUAGACUUCCUGGCUUCCACCACUGACCUUUGGGCCUUCCCAGCAUGGAUUUGUAAGAGAGACUGUUAUGAGUCCUUGUGGACUUUAGACCUCCAAUUGGACUCCUGGGAGGCAUUGUCAUGAGCUCUGGGUCUUCAUCUGGACUCAUGUGGGACAUUGCUAUGGGAUUCAGGCCCUUGGCUAGAUAUCCUAUGUCUUUAGUGCUGUGGAUAGAUUUCCUGUAUUUUCUUGUGUUAACUCUGGGUGACCAUUAUAAAAAUAAUAUUAUAAACUCCA
Long non-coding RNA from Cavia porcellus (domestic guinea pig), 547 nucleotides. RefSeq lists it as uncharacterized. NCBI's taxonomy places the organism in Eukaryota, Metazoa, Chordata, Mammalia, Rodentia, Caviidae. The transcript is spliced from 2 exons. The record is from RefSeq and is a predicted model, not a curated record.